RNAcentral lists this ribosomal RNA (486 nucleotides) under uncultured bacterium. RNAcentral describes it as "partial 16S ribosomal RNA". It matches the Rfam family "Bacterial small subunit ribosomal RNA", at positions 30 to 507 of the family's 1533-position model. The record is from RNAcentral.
AUUGAACGCUGGCGGCAUGCCUUACACAUGCAAGUCGAACGGCAGCACGGGUGCUUGCCCCUGGUGGCGAGUGGCGAACGGGUGAGUAAUACAUCGGAACAUGUCCUGUAGUGGGGGAUAGCCCGGCGAAAGCCGGAUUAAUACCGCAUACGAUCUACGGAUGAAAGCGGGGGACCUUCGGGCCUCGCGCUAUAGGGUUGGCCGAUGGCUGAUUAGCUAGUUGGUGGGGUAAAGGCCUACCAAGGCGACGAUCAGUAGCUGGUCUGAGAGGACGACCAGCCACACUGGGACUGAGACACGGCCCAGACUCCUACGGGAGGCAGCAGUGGGGAAUUUUGGACAAUGGGCGAAUGCCUGAUCCAGCAAUGCCGCGUGUGUGAAGAAGGCCUUCGGGUUGUAAAGCACUUUUGUCCGGAAAGAAAUCCUUGGCCCUAAUACGGUCGGGGGAUGACGGUACCGGAAGAAUAAGCACCGGCUAACUACGUG